AGUUUCCUACGGGGGGCAGCAGUGGGGAAUAUUGGACAAUGGGGGGAACCCUGAUCCAGCGACGCCGCGUGAGUGAAGAAGUAUCUCGGUAUGUAAAGCUCUAUCAGCAGGGAAGAAAGAAAUGACGGUACCUGACUAAGAAGCCCCGGCUAACUACGUGCCAGCAGCCGCGGUAAUACGUAGGGGGCAAGCGUUAUCCGGAUUUACUGGGUGUAAAGGGAGCGUAGACGGCAGCACAAGUCUGGAGUGAAAUCCCGGGGCUUAACCCCGGAACUGCCUUGGAAACUGUGCGGCUGGAGUGCAGG
Molecule: ribosomal RNA, 305 nt
Filed under: uncultured bacterium
Lineage: Bacteria
Description: bacterial SSU rRNA
Rfam family: Bacterial small subunit ribosomal RNA
Source: RNAcentral